Molecule: long non-coding RNA, 1947 nt
Organism: Orcinus orca (killer whale)
Lineage: Eukaryota; Metazoa; Chordata; Mammalia; Artiodactyla; Delphinidae
Exons: 4
Source: RefSeq, a predicted model, not a curated record
GAGAAAAGCCACCACUUGGGUAAAGACAUCCAGAGGAAGUCAGCGGCCGAGGGUGAACUGGAAGCAGUGAGAGAUCGGCGCUGCCCCUCAGCGCAAGUUCCCGAAAGUUUCUUUUUGGGCCCAUGUUGUGCACAUGGACCUGAGUGGCAAGAGCUCGUGCUACGGAGCUCAACAGAAGCAAAUGGAAACAGGGAGCUGUUCUGAGCAGAAGAGGUACAGAAUCACGUGACCUAAAAGUGAUGACUGCAGGAAUAUAACCAAGAAAAGGGGAAAUAAAUCAGCUACAGAGAAGGCACUGGGCAAAACUUGUAAAGAGUUAUACAGUUCAUCUGAACUUUUACUAAAGUACACAGAACUGUAGUUUCUUCAUUGAUACCUUGGGAUCUCACAGAGCCUGCUGCACAUAAAUAAAACGUACUUGCCUUAAUGAGAGCCUCAUUACUUUUAAUUGUACUUUUAAUUGUAAUGGUUCUUGAAUCUAUGCUUUUGCCUUCUUUGCUAGGAAGGAACACCUUCUCAAAAGAAUUCUUUGUAUUUUAGAAUUACUACUUGUGUCAUGGUAUUCCUUCUGCACUAUCACUUGUAUUCUGAAAGAGAAUCUUCAGUGUUUAAGGUUUUUUAACACUUUGAAUUUCAAAUCCUCUUAGCUGAUUAUACAGCUAAAUUUGCUUAUAGAGCCUUAGUGUACCAUUUCAAACUAUAUCAACUUAAUUUUUUAUAGAUAUAUUUUCUUCAAACAGAAAAAUUUCAGUUGGUGGAUGGCCCUACUUUUAUAUACUACCUGAUAAUCAUGAUCCUGGCUUAAUUUGAUUAAUUCUAUUUGGGAGGUACGGUAAAGAAAGCUUGAGCUAUAGAGUUGAAGGAUUAAAUACUUUCCUUAAUUCAAAAUUAAACAAAAAAGUUUGAUUAACUAACAAAAACUAGACACUAAAAAAUAGAAAUCAUAUUUUGUUUUAUAAUAUACAUAAUAAAAUUAAUAAAAUGUUGGCAAACAACUAAUAUUACCAUGUGAAAAUAAUAAUUCUGUGAGCCAGUCCAAUUAUAUUGAACUUAAAUUGCAAGGUCCACUAUCUCUACUAAAUCCAUUAUCUAUAAAUUCAUCAUCUUUAUUCGUAAAUUUCUGGUUAGUUGCUUCCAUCCAGUACCGUCUGCCUUUGCAUCAAGGCUAUGAAAUAAAGAUAUUAAAAAAAAAUUAUUACUGUAUUUACUUAACAUUUAAAGAUACACAACAGCAACUAAAAUAGAUCAUUCUGUAUCAUUUAUGAAGCUUACCUCUUUGUAGCACUUUUCUACAAUUUCAUAACUGGCAUUACCCCACACUGUUAUGUGUUCUCGUCUGUACUGCUUCACCAACUCUGAAACCUACAUGUGAAAAUUCAAAAUUUUAUGCAUGUGCCUAUUUGUAAAUCCACUUACAUGAUUUCACUUAAACAAUGGAUUACAACUGACUAUCUGCCAGUGCAUACUAUAAAAUUUUGGGAGAACUGAUACACAAAUACAGAUUAUUUUAUAAAGUACAAGAAAUUACAUUUUACCAUUAUAUGAUUUAUUUAAUAGAAGACAACUGUUUAGUAAUUUGCUAUAAACUAAGUACAAGUGAAACAAGUGAAACUAGAAGAAGUUAAUUAGGUAAAUGCCAGAGCGAUGGGUUCACAGAAGCUCACUUUUAUCCAUGCCUGCGACAUGACAAGUCACUCUGAAACAGGCUUUCCUACAGUACAGAGAUGUCUUCUACCAGGGCAGUAUUUGAAACAAUACUGAUCCCUAGAGUAUCACAUUUCCUUGAACAUUAUCAAUCUAUGCAGGCACCUACUCUAGCCUUAUUUAGUUUGGAUGAAAUCGGAUGCAACACACUCAGAGGACACAAUGCCUUAAGUACCUUCUUAAUCAGCAAAUUGUUGUUGACUUUGAUAUCGAUGUUAAUAGGAGUGUUAGGAAAGGCCUCAA